CGGAGCGUGUGGUUUAAUUCGUAUGUUACACGAAGAACCUUACAGGGUUUGACAUGCAAGUGGUAGGAAGCCGAAAGGUGACCGACCCUUCGGGAGCUUGCACAGGUGCUGCAUGGCUGUCGUCAGCUCGUGUCGUGAGAUGUUCGGUUAAGUCCGCUAACGAGCGCAACCCUCGCUGUGUGUUAUAUGUGUCACACGGGACUGCCGGUCUUAAGCCGGAGGAAGGUGGGGAUGAUGUCAAGUCAGCAUGGCCUUUAUAUCCUGGGCUACACACACGCUACAAUGGCCAACACAAUAGGUUGCUAAGCCGCGAGGUGGCGCCAAUCCAUAAAGUUGGUCUCAGUUCAGAUUGUAGGCUGCAACCCGCCUGCAUGAAGAUGGAGUUGCUAGUAACCGCAGGUCAGCUAUACUGCGGUGAAUACGUUCCCGGGGCUU
This 435-nucleotide ribosomal RNA is filed under the name uncultured Leptolinea sp. RNAcentral's name for it is "bacterial SSU rRNA". It matches the Rfam family "Bacterial small subunit ribosomal RNA", at positions 933 to 1382 of the family's 1533-position model. Lineage: Bacteria; Bacillati; Chloroflexota; Anaerolineae; Anaerolineales; Anaerolineaceae. The record is from RNAcentral.